RNAcentral lists this ribosomal RNA (944 nucleotides) under Schidium sp. Its description in RNAcentral is "SSU rRNA". It matches the Rfam family "Eukaryotic small subunit ribosomal RNA", at positions 85 to 943 of the family's 1831-position model. The record is from RNAcentral. Lineage: Eukaryota; Metazoa; Arthropoda; Insecta; Hemiptera; Reduviidae.
AACCGCAAAGGGCUCAGUAAACCAGUUUUAAUUUACUAGAGUUUUUACGUUACGUACGUGGAUACCUGUGGUAAUUCUAGAGCUAAUACAUGCAAUUAAGUCCGGACCAGAAAUGGAAAGGACGCUUUUAUUAGAUCAAAACCAUUCGCCCAACUUGCUUGGGCGUUGUUUUGGUGAAUCUAGAUAACAAAUGAGAUCGUACAGUCUUUGUACUGACGACAUCUCUUUCAAACGCCUGACUUAUCAGCUGUCGAUGGUAGACUAUGUGUCUACCAUGGCCCUCACGGGUAACGGGGAAUCAGGGUUCGAUUCCGGAGAGGGAGCCUGAGAAACGGCUACCACAUCCAAGGAAGGCAGCAGGCACGCAAAUUACCCACUCCCGGCACGGGGAGGUAGUGACAAAAAAUAACGAUACGGGACUCUAUUGAGGCCCCGUAAUCGGAAUGAGUACACUUUAAAUCCUUUAGCAAGGAUCCAUUGGAGGGACAGUCUGGUGCCAGCAGCCGCGGUAAUUCCAGCUCCAAUAGCGUAUAUUAAAGUUGUUGCGGUUAAAAAGCUCGUAGUUGGUUCUGCGUGCCGCGCUGUCGGUUCGCCGCCUGUCGGUGUAACUGGCAUGUCGCGGCAUGUCCUGUCGGUGGUGAACGGAGGCUACCUGUAGUGGCUUUAUGCUAACUACAUGUGUUUGUUGUCCGUUUGCCGAUCUCCUACUCCGGUGCUCUUAAACGAGUGUCGAGGUAGGCCGACACGUUCACUUUGAACAAAUUAGAGUGCUUAAAGCAGGCUGAAAUAUCUGCCUGAAUAGUGGUGCAUGGAAUGAUAAAAUAGGACCUCGGUUCUAUUUUGUUGGUUUUAGGAAUAUGAGGUAAUGAUCAAUGUGGACUGGCGGGGGCAUUCGUAUUGCGACGUUAGAGGUGAAAUUCUUGGAUCGUCGCAAGACGCAUAAA